ACUCAAAUGAAUUGACGGGGGCCCGCACAAGCAGUGGAGUAUGUGGUUUAAUUCGAAGCAACGCGAAGAACCUUACCAGGGCUUGACAUCUACCGAAGUCUUAGAGAUAAGAUGUGCCGCAAGGAGCGGUAAGACAGGUGGUGCAUGGUUGUCGUCAGCUCGUGUCGUGAGAUGUUGGGUUAAGUCCCGCAACGAGCGCAACCCUUAUGGUCAGUUGCCAUCAUUCAGUUGGGCACUCUGGCGAGACUGCCGGUGACAAAUCGGAGGAAGGUGGGGACGACGUCAAAUCAUCAUGCCCCUUAUGUCCUGGGCUACACACGUACUACAAUGGCCGUUAACAGAGGGAAGCCAGUCAGCGAUGGCGAGCAAAUCCCAAAAAACGGUCUCAGUUCAGAUUGCAGGCUGAAACCCGCCUGCAUGAAGUCGGAAUUGCUAGUAAUCGCGAAUCAGCAUGUCGCGGUGAAUACGUUCCCGGGCCUUGCACACACCGCCCGU
This 495-nucleotide ribosomal RNA is filed under the name uncultured bacterium. RNAcentral describes it as "bacterial SSU rRNA". It matches the Rfam family "Bacterial small subunit ribosomal RNA", at positions 899 to 1397 of the family's 1533-position model. The record is from RNAcentral.